Molecule: unclassified non-coding RNA, 378 nt
Filed under: plant metagenome
Description: partial contains 5.8S ribosomal RNA, internal transcribed spacer 2, and large subunit ribosomal RNA
Rfam family: 5.8S ribosomal RNA (bases 1-105)
Source: RNAcentral
GAAAUGCGAAAAGUAAUGCGAAUUGCAGAAUUCAGCGAGUCAUCGAGUUUUUGAACGCACAUUGCGCUCCUUGGUAUUCCUUGGAGCAUGCCUGUUUGAGUAUCAUGAAAUCUUCAAAGUAAAUCUUUUGUUAACUCAAUUGGUUUCUACUUUGGUAUUGGAGGUCUUUGCAGCUUCACACCUGCUCCUCUUUGUUCAUUAGCUGGAUCUCAGUGUUAUGCUUGGUUCCACUCGGCGUGAUAAGUUAUCUAUCGCUGAGGACACUGUAAAAGGUGGCCAAGGUAAAUGCAGAUGAACCGCUUCUAAUAGUCCAUUGACUUGGACAAUACUUUUAUGAUCUGAUCUCAAAUCAGGUAGGACUACCCGCUGAACUUAAGC